This 476-nucleotide ribosomal RNA is filed under the name uncultured organism. RNAcentral describes it as "partial 16S ribosomal RNA". It matches the Rfam family "Bacterial small subunit ribosomal RNA", at positions 333 to 801 of the family's 1533-position model. The record is from RNAcentral.
ACACUCCUGCGGGAGGCAGCAGUAGGGAAUCUUCCACAAUGGGUGCAAACCUGAUGGAGCAAUGCCGCGUGAGUGAAGAAGGUCUUCGGAUCGUAAAGCUCUGUUGUUAGAGAAGAACACGUGCUAGGUAACUACUAGCGCCUUGACGGUAUCUAACCAGAAAGUCACGGCUAACUACGUGCCAGCAGCCGCGGUAAUACGUAGGUGACAAGCGUUGUCCGGAUUUAUUGGGCGUAAAGGGAGCGCAGGCGGUCUGUUUAGUCUAAUGUGAAAGCCCACGGCUUAACCGUGGAACGGCAUUGGAAACUGACAGACUUGAAUGUAGAAGAGGAAAAUGGAAUUCCAAGUGUAGCGGUGGAAUGCGUAGAUAUUUGGAGGAACACCAGUGGCGAAGGCGAUUUUCUGGUCUAACAUUGACGCUGAGGCUCGAAAGCGUGGGGAGCGAACAGGAUUAGAAACCCGAGUAGUCCCAUGAU